GUGGUUCGGCCCAGGGGCGGUGCUGGGUCAGGGAGGGAUGUGGUGAAGAGAGCGCGUGCGCCAUUUUGAGCCCGUGCUUGGAACAUUGGAGGAAGCACAGAGAACGACAUGCAGACAUAGAUCACCCUAAUAUUUCUACUGACGACAGGAGUAGUGGCCUGCAUGAAGCAGCACGACCUGGUCAUCAGACAUGACAAAUGCCAGCUCGGCGGGAGGCACAAGAUGUAAUUUCACUUUUCCUACACCCUUCCUGAUGGAGUCACGUGGUGGAGUUGGACAUUUCAAGGAGGGUCUGCACCCCACAGAUGGUAGGACUGCAUGCCAAGAAGCCAGUGGGAAGUGUGGCAGGAAGCCUCAACAUUAGAGAAAGGGUGUAUUUGAAGUUUUGCAAUCUGUUGAUAGAUGACUGUUGUGUUCACAUUCCAAAGUGUAUAUGAUAAGUUGUCUCAAGCGCUCGAUGGUAAGAUCAGUAAAAUAACUGGGGAAUAAUGAUCCACAGUGAGCAGUAAAACUCACUGGGACUGCGCUCCCUUUAAACUCUGGAGGUGACUGUACCACAACUCCAAGGAAGCCAGUUGAAUCAUGACUGUGGUCAUGGGGUAGAUGUUGGGGUAUGUCCAACCACCGUGACAACAGUCCCGACAGGAUGGGACAAACGCCCGUGAAAGCUUCUCCCCACAGACAGCAGCACUCCCCGCAUGCGCAGCUCUUGUCCCCCAGCACGGUUGUGGUUGGUGGGUGCAGAGGCACCAAGGGCGGGCUUUGUGACCAUAUUAGACCAUAGCUCGGAUCUGAGCCGGGAGGCCCUCGGGCAACCAUUUGGAGUUGGUCCUCCUCAGAGCAGUGGUCUGCAGCUGAGGACUCUCCUCUUGGGUCCAGGCUUUAACGCUGGUGGAGCUUUAAUGGAGUUUGAACAGUAAAUUCUGUUUAACCUCAGGGUAUAGGUUCCAUGACAGCAGGUGAUCAAAACUAGAGCGAAGCAGCUUUCCUGCUUGUUCCAAAGAGUCAUGCACUUUCAAAAAUUAAAACUCUAUUUAAACAUCUCAA
Strigops habroptila (Kakapo) is the source of this 1047-nucleotide long non-coding RNA. RefSeq lists it as uncharacterized. The transcript is spliced from 2 exons. NCBI's taxonomy places the organism in Eukaryota, Metazoa, Chordata, Aves, Psittaciformes, Psittacidae. The record is from RefSeq and is a predicted model, not a curated record.